UUUUUUCAAUAUUCCAAAUACGGAGGAAAAGAAACCAACAGGGAUUGCCUCAGUAGCGGCGAGUGAAGCGGCAAGAGCUCAGAUUUGAAAUCUCACCUAGUGUGCGAGUUGUAAAUUGCAGGUUGGAGUCUCGGGUUAGACGUGUGUGCAAGUCCCUUGGAACAGGGUGCCACUGAGGGUGAGAGCCCCGUAUCGUGCAUGUCGACACCUGUGAGGCCCUUCUGACGAGUCGAGUUGUUUGGGAAUGCAGCUCUAAGUGGGUGGUAAAUUCCAUCUAAGGCUAAAUAUUGGCGAGAGACCGAUAGCGAACAAGUACUGUGAAGGAAAGAUGAAAAGCACUUUGAAAAGAGAGUGAAACAGCACGUGAAAUUGUUGAAAGGGAAGGGUAUUGGGCUCGACAUGGGAUUUACGCAUCGUUGCCUCUCGUGGGCGGCGCUCUGGGUUUUUCCUGGGCCAGCAUCGGUUUUCGUUGCAGGAUAAGGACAAUUGGAAUGUGGCUCCUCGGAGUGUUAUAGCCUUUUGUAGAUGCUGCGUAUGGGGACCGAGGGCUGCGGCGGACUCGUUUCGUCUCGGAUGCUGGCACAACGGCGCAAUACCGCCCGUCUUAAAAACCCGGACCCAA
RNAcentral lists this ribosomal RNA (622 nucleotides) under Pichia kluyveri. RNAcentral describes it as "partial large subunit ribosomal RNA". It matches the Rfam family "Eukaryotic large subunit ribosomal RNA", at positions 1 to 670 of the family's 3401-position model. The record is from RNAcentral. Lineage: Eukaryota; Fungi; Ascomycota; Pichiomycetes; Pichiales; Pichiaceae.